Molecule: non-coding RNA, 100 nt
Filed under: Hyphomicrobiales bacterium
Lineage: Bacteria; Pseudomonadati; Pseudomonadota; Alphaproteobacteria; Hyphomicrobiales
Description: Glycine
Rfam family: Glycine riboswitch aptamer
About the family: This family represents the bacterial glycine riboswitch. Glycine riboswitches usually consist of two metabolite-binding aptamers domains with similar structures in tandem.
Source: RNAcentral
CAUAUCCCCGCGGGAGAGACCGGGCCUGAUCCGUCAGGACCCGGCGCCGAAGGCGCAACCGCCCCGGAAACGCUCAGGCAAAAAGGGCCGCUGGGGAUUU